CCUGGUUCAUGCCUGUGCCUGUUCCUGCCUAAUCUCAAUACUGUACAACAGAGCCCCUACCUCCUGUUGUUUUGCACCAUCCUGCUAGCAAAAAAGGGACAGCUCCUUGUAUCGAUUGGUUAUCUCAGCUCAGUGGUACGUGUCCAUUACCAUGGUUCAUUCUUCCACAGCAAAUGUGAUCUUUGUAAUGCAUCAUCAGUCCAUCAGCUUUCACCUGCUUCACCUUGGCAGCAAUUCUGGAUAGAGGGAAUGGUAAAAAUGGAGGUUGAAUAACAGAGACCUGAGGUCAGCCUGCAGACCAAGUUUAAGCAGCCAGGCGUGGCGCCGACCGGCAUCUCUGGGGCCGUCCCUCAUCGGCAGAGGAAAACGUUCGGCAAAGACGAGUAGG
Molecule: long non-coding RNA, 388 nt
Organism: Gallus gallus (chicken)
Lineage: Eukaryota; Metazoa; Chordata; Aves; Galliformes; Phasianidae
Source: Ensembl